This 340-nucleotide transfer-messenger RNA is filed under the name Lachnospiraceae. Its description in RNAcentral is "Roseburia sp017937095 Standard tmRNA". It matches the Rfam family "transfer-messenger RNA". Rfam says of the family: Bacterial tmRNA, also known as 10Sa RNA or SsrA, is named for its dual tRNA and mRNA-like properties. Its role is to liberate the mRNA from a stalled ribosome. The record is from RNAcentral. Lineage: Bacteria; Bacillati; Bacillota; Clostridia; Lachnospirales. RNAcentral also lists the same sequence under 1 other name.
GGGCUAGUAAUGGUUUCGACGGGGGCUAUGCAGCUGGAGAAGCGAGCCGCAUGCAAUGCGUCAAAUGGCAAAACUAAAAUUAAACGCUGAAGAUAAUUUAGCAUACGCUGCCUAAGGGCGGCAGUCCAACCUAGUGCACCUACACAUUAGGAUCUGGGCUUCGACGAUGUAGGAAACGACACAGGCAAAGCUUUGAGCCUGCGGGCGUAUCAUGAAGCUACUAAAACCGCAAGGGUGUCUGUCCCCGGGCGGCAGAGGGAAUGUCAAAGGACGGACUAAGCUCGUAGAAGGACAGGGAAUUAGCUUUCGGACACGAGUUCGACUCUCGUCUAGUCCACUC